This 468-nucleotide ribosomal RNA is filed under the name uncultured bacterium. RNAcentral's name for it is "partial 16S ribosomal RNA". It matches the Rfam family "Bacterial small subunit ribosomal RNA", at positions 28 to 507 of the family's 1533-position model. The record is from RNAcentral.
GACGAACGCUGGCGGCGUGCUUAACACAUGCCAGUCGAACGGAAAGGCCCUGCUUUUGUGGGGUGCUCGAGUGGCGAACGGGUGAGUAACACGUGAGUAACCUGCCCUUGACUUUGUGAUAACUUCAGGAAACUGGGGCUAAUACCGGAUAGGAGCUCCUGCUGCAUGGUGGGGGUUGGAAAGUUUCGGCGGUUGGGGAUGGACUCGCGGCUUAUCAGCUUGUUGGUGGGGUAGUGGCUUACCAAGGCUUUGACGGGUAGCCGGCCUGAGAGGGUGACCGGCCAACUUGCGCGUGAGCUACGGCAGGGACUACUACGGGAGGCAGCGGUGGGGAAUAUAGCACGAUCGACGGAAGCCGGAUGCAGCAACGACGCGCGCGGGAUGACGGCCUUCGUGUAGUAGACAGCUUUCGCGUGUGACGAUGCGUGAGUGACGGUAAUGGGUAAAGAAGCACCGGCUAACUACGUG